GCGAGAAAACUUUGCAAUGUGCGAAAGCACGACAAGGUUAAUCCGAGUGAUUUCUGCUAAAGGAAUCUUUUGCCAGUUCUAAAAAUACUAGUGAAUAAGGGGUGGGCAAGUUCUGGUGUCAGCCGCCGCGGUAAAACCAGCACCUCAAGUGGUCAGGAGGAUUAUUGGGCCUAAAGCAUCCGUAGCCUGCUCUGUAAGUUUUCGGUUAAAUCUAUAUGCUCAACGUAUAGGCCGCCGAAAAUACUGCAGUGCUAGGAAGUGGGAGAGGUAGACGGUACUUGGUAGGAAGGGGUAAAAUCCUUUGAUCUAUCGAUGACCACCUGUGGCGAAGGCGGUCUACCAGAACACGUUCGACGGUGAGGGAUGAAAGCUGGGGGAGCAAACCGG
This 387-nucleotide ribosomal RNA is filed under the name uncultured bacterium. RNAcentral's name for it is "bacterial SSU rRNA". It matches the Rfam family "Archaeal small subunit ribosomal RNA", at positions 339 to 727 of the family's 1478-position model. The record is from RNAcentral.